This 66-nucleotide transfer RNA is filed under the name Caproicibacterium amylolyticum. Its description in RNAcentral is "Oscillospiraceae bacterium LBM18003 tRNA-OTHER". The record is from RNAcentral. Lineage: Bacteria; Bacillati; Bacillota; Clostridia; Eubacteriales; Oscillospiraceae.
GCACAGUUCGAGUAGCAAGGGUAACUCGCCUUUUUGGAGAAGCAGGUUCGAGUCCUGCACUGUGCA